AAGCUCGUAGUUGAAUUUCGGGCCUGGCUGGGUGGUCUUGCCGCAAGGUAAGCACUGCUCUGGUCGGGUCUUUCCUUCUGGGGAACCAGCGUGCUCUUAACUGAGUGCGUUGGGGAUCCAGGACUUUUACUUUGAAAAAAUUAGAGUGUUUAAAGCAGGCUUACGCUUGAAUACAUUAGCAUGGAAUAAUAGAAUAGGACUUUGGUUCUAUUUUGUUGGUUUCUAGGACCGAAGUAAUGAUUAAUAGGGAUAGUUGGG
This 258-nucleotide ribosomal RNA is filed under the name uncultured Chytridiomycota. Its description in RNAcentral is "partial 18S ribosomal RNA". It matches the Rfam family "Eukaryotic small subunit ribosomal RNA", at positions 624 to 886 of the family's 1831-position model. Lineage: Eukaryota; Fungi; Chytridiomycota. The record is from RNAcentral.